GUCUACGGCCAUACUACCCUCAACACACCCAAUUUCAUCUGAUCUCGGAAGCUAAGCAGGGUUGGUCCAGGUUAGUACUUGGAUAAGAGACCACCUAGGAAGACCGGGUGCUGUAGGCG
Molecule: ribosomal RNA, 119 nt
Filed under: Pteropus alecto (black flying fox)
Lineage: Eukaryota; Metazoa; Chordata; Mammalia; Chiroptera; Pteropodidae
Also listed under: 1 other name
Source: RNAcentral